CCAGGGGGCCGGGCAGCCGCGUCUCUCCGCUUGUGCGGGGGGCCGAGGAAAGUCCGGGCUCCGCGAAACGAGGGUGGCGGGUAACGCCCGCCGGGCUCAGGCGACUGGGCUCAGGGAAAGUGCCACAGAGAGUAUACCGCCGAUGGCCUCUAAAGGGCACAGGCAUGGGUGAAAGGGUGCGGUAAGAGCGCACCGGGGCUCUGGUAACAGCGUCCGCAUGGCAAACCCCACCCGGAGCAAGACCGAAUAGGGGUUCCGCGCCCGAAAGGGCAGGAGUGUUUCGCUCCGAGGAACCCGGGUUGGUUGCUGGAGCGGCCGGGCAACCGGUCGCCGAGAUGAAUGGCUGCCCCCGCCCGGCGCGUCCUUUCGGGGAUACGGCCGGCGGGACAGAACCCGGCUUACAGGCCCCCUGGCAUU
Molecule: RNase P RNA, 417 nt
Filed under: Altererythrobacter sp.
Lineage: Bacteria; Pseudomonadati; Pseudomonadota; Alphaproteobacteria; Sphingomonadales; Erythrobacteraceae
Also listed under: 1 other name
Description: RNase P RNA component class A
Rfam family: Bacterial RNase P class A
About the family: Ribonuclease P (RNase P) is a ubiquitous endoribonuclease, found in archaea, bacteria and eukarya as well as chloroplasts and mitochondria. Its best characterised activity is the generation of mature 5'-ends of tRNAs by cleaving the 5'-leader elements of precursor-tRNAs.
Source: RNAcentral